This 253-nucleotide ribosomal RNA is filed under the name uncultured bacterium. RNAcentral's name for it is "partial 16S ribosomal RNA". It matches the Rfam family "Bacterial small subunit ribosomal RNA", at positions 524 to 776 of the family's 1533-position model. The record is from RNAcentral.
UACGAAGGGUGCAAACGUUGCUCGGAAUCAUUGGGCGUAAAGAGCGUGUAGGCGGCCCGAUAAGUCCGCUGUGAAAGUCCAGGGCUCAACCCUGGGAUGCCGGUGGAUACUGUCGGGCUCGAGUCCGGAAGAGGAGUGUGGAAUUCCUGGUGUAGCGGUGAAAUGCGCAGAUAUCAGGAGGAACACCAAUGGCGAAGGCAGCACUCUGGGACGUGACUGACGCUGAGACGCGAAAGCGUGGGGAGUAAACAGG